Molecule: ribosomal RNA, 1488 nt
Filed under: Rhizobium sp.
Lineage: Bacteria; Pseudomonadati; Pseudomonadota; Alphaproteobacteria; Hyphomicrobiales; Rhizobiaceae
Description: partial 16S ribosomal RNA
Rfam family: Bacterial small subunit ribosomal RNA
Source: RNAcentral
CAGUCGGUCCCGUAGUAAACACCCGGAGGUCGACCCCCCGGGAAGGGCGCGGGACCGGGAGACGGGUGAGUAAUCGGGGAAUCUACCUUUUCGUACGGUUAAACCGAGGGAAACUUGUCGUUUAACCGUCGGUGUCCUUCGGGAGAAAGAUUUAUCCGGAAGACGGGACCCCGGGUUGGAUUACGUAGUUGGUGGGGUAAACCGGUACCAACGGGACGAUCCAUACGUGGUCUGAGAGGAUGAUCACCGACAUUGGGACUGAGACACCCCGGAAACUCCUACGGGACGGACGAGUGGGGUUAAUUGGACACCCGGGGGAACCGUGAUCCACCCCCCGGGGGUGAGUCGGGAACCCGGUAGGGUUGUAAACGUCUUUCACCGGAGAAGAUACGGACGGUAUCCGGAGAAGAACCCCCGGGUAACUUCGUCCGACGACCCGGGGUUUAACGAACGGGGGUACGGUUGUUCGGUUAUACUGGGCGUAAACCGGACGUACGGGGAUCGAUCAGUCAGGGGUGAUUACCCACGGGUCAACCCUGGAACUCCGUUUGAUACUGUCGAUCUGGAGUCGGGAAGAGGUGAGUGGUUAUCCGAGUGUAGAGGUGAUUAUCGUAGAUAUUCGGAGGAACACCAGUCGGGAACCGGGGUCACUGGUCCAUUACUGACCGUGAGGUCGGAAACGGUGGGGACGAAACAGGAUUAGAUACCCUCGUAGUCCACCCGGUAAACCGGGACGGUUACCGGUCCGGGAGUAUACUGUUCGGUCCGGGACGUAACCGAUUAAACAUUCCCCGUGGGGAGUACGGUCCGAAGAUUAAAACUCAAAGGUUAUGACCCGCGCGGGGACACGAUGAACGGGUGGACCGGGUGGUUUUUAUCCCCGGAGAACCUUACCACCCGUUGACAUCCUGUGUUACCCGUAGAGAUCGGGGGUCCACUUCGGUCCGCGGAGAGACAGGUCGUCCCGGGGUGUCGUCACGUCGUGUCGUGACGGGUUGGGUUAAGUCCCCGAACGACCGGAACCCUCCCCGUUAGUUCCGACGAUUCAGUUCGGGACUCUAAGGGGACUCCGGGUGAUAACCGGAGAGGAAGGUCGGGGGGACGUCAAGUCCUCCCCGGGCUUACCGGGUCGGGUACACACGUCGUACACGGGUGGUGACAGUCGGGACGGACGACCGGAGUGUGACGUUUACUCCAAAACCGAUCUCAGUUCGGAUUCGACUCUCGACGUCGAGUCCGGGAAGUUGGUUACCGUAGUUUACCGGGAUCACCCCCGGGGGGUGUUAACGUUCCCCCGGGUUGUACACACCCCCGCGUACACCCGGGGAGUUGGUUUUACCCGAAGGUAGUCCGGUAACCGCAAGGACGGACGUAACCACGGUAGGGUCACGGACUGGGGUGAAGUCGUAACAAGGUACCGGUAGGGGAACCUCCGGGUGGAUCACCUCCUUAACGUUGGAUCCCGGGGAGACCCGAACCGUGAAACAG